RNAcentral lists this transfer RNA (85 nucleotides) under Felis catus (domestic cat). It matches the Rfam family "tRNA". Rfam says of the family: Transfer RNA (tRNA) molecules are approximately 80 nucleotides in length. RNAcentral also lists the same sequence under 1 other name. The record is from Rfam by way of RNAcentral. Lineage: Eukaryota; Metazoa; Chordata; Mammalia; Carnivora; Felidae.
GCCUGGGUGGCUCAGUCGGUUGAGCGUCCGACUUCGGCUCAGGUCAUGAUCUCGCGGUUCGUGAGUUCAAGCCCCGCAUCAGGCU